UCCGCGCCUUAUCCUCUUUGUCAUCGUCGAGCUGGCUAGCUAGGAGUGUCCAAAUUUUCGGCGACUCCUUCUGAUCUGAUCUUCUCUUUUUGCGAAUUCUUCUGAUCUGAUCUCCCUUGUGAGGAUAGAUGGGUGGAGCACGAGUUGUCCCCUCGGCAGCUCAUCUCUAAUCCAUGUUGCCGUGUGCUAACUAUGUACGUAUCAAAUUACGUAUUCCAUUCGGUUCUGAAUUGAUUGGCGCAACAUCUAUAAAAUGUAAAAAUUGACGCAACCUAGAUACAAUGUCGCCUCUACACAAUGUCUUUCGGAGCGGAGGGAGCAGUGAGAGUACAUAAGGUUGUGCCCGCGUUGCAAUGUCAUGUGAUUUGCUGUCGUGGUUAUCUUCAAGGCAAGGCAAAUCACUUCUCGUGACUUGAGGAAAUAACCAAUCCGAAAGUAUCUUUAUUAAAUGUCGUUUGGAUCCAUAGACUUGUUGGCCAAGAUUGAGGGGAGGAAGACUUUGCCCUAAUCGCCUUGUGUGUGGAGAAAGAAAGACACAGCCAUGUUGCUUUCGGAAUGGUAAUGGGGGAGUAGCUCUAAUGAACUCUACCGCUUUAAUAAUAGUUUCAUUUCAUAGCUCAAAUGGUAAUUUUGUGAUUAAAGUGAUUUUUCUGCACAAAAGUUAUGUCAAUGUAGAACAGAAAUUGGGUUGAGCCCUAGCCACUGUUGAUCAUGAUGGAACAAUACCACAUUGAAACAACGAAGAUCGUGACAUAUGCAAUCAUCCACAAUGCAGUCGUGCGCUUAUGGUAACCAGGAAAUCCAGUUCUUCCCACGACAUCCUUCUUUAAGAUGAAGUUAUCAUCAUAGGACCGGAUGCCAUUGUAAGGCAAUCAAAGACAUUUUUUGCAUCCGAAAGUGCCCGUAGGGCAUCAAAGGAAAAGUAGUCGCAUCAACGUCAAAUGCCCCCGUGUCCUAUUCCGAUUCAGCACUAGCGCUUGAUUACCCUUAAUUGAUGCCAAGAAAUUGAGAACAUGCUCUUCCGCACAGUAUGCAAGGACCGCCUGGAUCAUAGUUGUUUCAUUCGCAUAAUCCUCCUAGUAGGAUGAGUCGUCGGAUGACUCAAAAUAGUGGGCAUACAUCUACUCCAUGUACGAAUCAUUGCUUUAAAGAAGGACAAAAAAAUUAGCACGAACAUUUCACCAAACAUUUGUCGGACAUGGUGACCCCGACGGAAGGCAUCCACGGGGGUGGAUGGUACCUACGCGGCGGACAGACGAGAGGUGUAGAAUGACAACGUAGGCAAAAGCGUCACGGCGACAGGCUGGAGCGGCGAAGGUCGCGGAUGUACCGGAAGGGCUUCGCGGGCGAUUAGGGUGGUACAACGGCGGCGGCGGCGAGGGAGUAAGCGGAUGCAAAGAAAGAGAAAAGGGAUGCAGAUGCAGGGGGUCUAGGGUAUGGUUUUGGGUGAGCCGAGAGUGUCAGAGUCCUAUGUGACGGAGGUCCGAACUCACACAAAGCCCGCUUGUUUCCUUUAAGUUUGCAGAAAAAUGGACAAACGAACUGGUCCGUGAACCGAUGCGAGACGCGGGGCGGUGGUGAAUGUUGGCUGCAUGUCAAUAUUUUCGUGGCGGCGUGCGUUGUUGUGUCGCACAUAAACUGUUUAUCAAAAUGUCCCACUAUAAAAAGGCCAAUUUAAGAGACGUGAGCGUGGACGCGCGCAAACGAGGGCUCCAAGCGGAUGCGCCCGGACACUGACCGAGCGCGCGUCCGCGAAGCCGUAGAUGCUCUUAUAAGGCAAUUGUUGGAGAUGCACUAGAGGAAGUAAUUGUAAGGAUACCACUACAACGUUUGCACCACUACAACUUUUGCAGAGAGCAGAGCAUCCAUGAUAAACGAGCCCCGUCAACUGGAGCAAAGUCAUAGACGUCAGCGCGGCGCUCCGUGUGACCUCGCGGUGGCCACGUGUCAUCAGCUGAUCAGAGUCAUGGCAUAGGAGUGGCCGGCGAUGGCCGCCAUGGGCACAAUCCAGGAUGGGCUCGCCGUGUUUGCUAGCUCUGGGUGCCGAGGGACAGUGCCCUAGCGGUGCGCGCUGGCUUCGGUUGCCAAGGGGCAGCGGCACGAUAGUGCGCGACGGCGUGCGGUGCGCGUGCGCGCCUGGCCUGGUCGAUGACGGCUUCGCGCGCGGCACCGGCUGCUCCAAGUAGCUCGCCUGCAGCAAUGGCGCCGGACAAGCCGGUGACUGUUUCCAAGGAAGGUCCGGUAACGACACCCCUAUCGACGUCGCCCACAUUAGCGGCACGGUCCAGGCCGGCGUGCUCGACGACGGUGCUCGUCUCAGCAGGCGCUGCUGCUCGGCGGUGCAGGUCAAUGACGGUGAGUCUUCUUGGGGUGAGGCCGUGCUCCCUGUCCGGCCCCAGACCUUCAGCCAUGCUGCCCCCUCUACUGGGUCGUCGUCACUGCUGUUACCGCACUGCCCACAUGGUGUUCGACAGAUUGUCUCACAUGUUUAUUUCAAAGUGUUGGUGUCUUUCACUCUUUCUUCGCCGUAAAUGCUGACUGAUGCAGCACUGUUGCUGAUUGCCUGCGCUAAAAAGUUGAAACACAAAUUGAGCGCCCCCUCCCACCUGAGCUUCCAGCAGCAUCCUCUUCGCCGUGGUGUCAAUGAAGGUAAGGUUAAUAUAUAGACCAUCCACCAUAUCUUAUAGGCCACUGAUUUUUGCAUCUGAAGGUGUCCAUCACAUGGAGAAUUUUCUUGUGCUCUCAUGUAUAUCAGGUUCAUUUUGGGCCAAUGGUUGAAAGAUAUUAUUUGAAAUGUUCCUUGGUUCGUCGGCAAGGCGCACACACUAUGUUCGAUGACGACCCUGCUCCCGACUUGCUGUGCACACCUUGCUUGUAGGAGAUCACCCUUUAUGUCUAAUCGUUUAAUUCUUUUCCUGGAAGUUCCUAUGCUGGCUAAGUGGCGAGGUGCAUUCACAUUGGGAAGUUAUAUUGAUCAAGUGGAAGAAAAUGAAGUAGCAGGCUCUGAUCCUCACUGCUUAGCUUUUCUAGAGAGGAUCAAAAGAUCUUUUGUUUUGGAGCAUUUGUGUAUUUGAUGAAACCCUGAACUGCAGACCCAAUCCUGAGCUUUAUUUUCAGUUUAGCAGUGGCCGUGUACGGUAAUGUUGCUUCUUUGAAAAGAUAUGGACAGUAGAGUGUUAAGGAAUUUUUUGCUUUGAGAGAACACAAAGAGAAGAAGGGGAUACAAACAGAAGUUUGCUGGCCUGGUACAGUAUUUAACUUGUUGGUUGGUGUUGUUUUUUUAUAAUCAACUUACAUGCAGGAUUACUUUUUUUUUCUCUGGAAAGGCUUCCACCUAAAUAUAUUUCAAUUUUUUUGACUUUGUUACAAAGGCACACAGGGGAUCAGGCAUAGCGUGAGGAGAUGAAAUCACGCCACAGACCGGCGUGCUCCAUUAGAUCGCUUGAUUUCAACCUAUGCGACCAUGAGGUCAAAUCAGCGACGAUGUUUCGCAGUGUCAGCCGGCUGCCUUUCAGUUUAAUAGCACCAUAUUUAAUCAGCGACGAUGUUUCGCAGUGUCAGCCGGCUGCCUUUCAGUUUAAUAGCACCAUAUUCUAUCUUAGGUUUUUUUUCUGUUACAUUUAGCAUUUCAACUUGACAAUAAGUAUUGUCGAGACAAAGGCUUGAUAAAUAUUUGUUUCUGUGUUGGCAUUUGGUAGGAAUUUAAACAGUACCUACGGCCUAAUAAAGAAAAGAUGCAUGAAGCAAGAGAGAAGAUGACUUUCCUAGACACAUUAUCACUUGUAUUUACAAAAAUGCAGUUUGCCUAUUUGCUUCUUCAGUGCUGGGCAUGCUAUUCCAGACUUUGUGCCCCUCAGAACCAGGUGUAGCACUUCGACAGUUCCUCUUUAAAAUGCUGUUGGAACUUUUUUGAAUGAUAUGAGCUUGUGGCAUGUGUUUAUUACCACAUUUCUCAAUAUUAGCAUUAUUCUUCUAUACUGUUUGUGUUGUGAAUGUAUGGCUGAAAAAAUAUGGUUAUCGUUAUGCAAAUUUGAUAUGUUUCAUGUGGCCAUAUAUUUACGAAAACUCCCAUCAUUCCAUCAAUAAUCUAGUACAUAUAUCACUGUUUCUUAUGUAAUUCAUACCCUUUAUACUACAAACCUUGGUUUGUCCAAUUUUGCUUCAGAUCCAGGUGUAGCACUUUAGCAGUUCCUCUUUCGGGCACUUCUUUGAAUGGCAUGACUCAUACAUGUAGUUUCUGGCCUGUGUUUAUUGCCACAUUUUUUUAAUAUUAGCAUUAUUCCACUAUACUGUUUCUGAUAUGAAUGCAUGACUGAAAAAUGCAUAUGGUUGUCGUUAUGCAACUUCGAUAUGUUUCGUGUGGUCAUAUAUUGAACAAAACUCCUAUUAUCUUAUCACUAGUUUAUCGUUGUUUCUUAUGUAAUAAAUCCUAUGGUUUCUGCUACAAACCUUUGGCUUGCCCAAACCAGUAUGAAGGCACGAUGGCUGUGCGGCGUCUGCCUCCCGGGAGCUCGUGGCUGCGGGGAGCCUCAACUGCCCACUUGGAAAGAGAGACAGGCAGCGCGUCGGAAUAGUAUGCUUGAAAAAUGGAACCUUGAACCGGACCAAACAGGAAGCAGAGAGGGAGAAGAGGAAGAAGCCGGAGGCGAAAGGGAUAGGUGGGCAGGGCCGCAGAGAGAGCAAUCCCCAAAAGCUACCCUCUUCGUUCUCCUCCACAGAACUCGAUUGCCAGGCAUCUUUACUCUGUGCUGCACCUCUUUCUCCCGUGGACUUGGCCCAUGGACCAUGCUUGUAGCAAUUUUAUUUUCUUUUCUUUUUUAACCUAUGAUAUUAGUAGCAGUGUUGAGAAUACGGAUCUCGCGAGAAUAAUGUGCUCGGUUUUCUACGAGUCGAACCGACUCGCUGCGCCUUGGGCCAUAGAAAAUUAGAAACCAAUGAGAAUAACUUCCUUUCCCUUUCCUAA
This is a non-coding RNA of Aegilops tauschii subsp. strangulata, 4963 nucleotides long. Lineage: Eukaryota; Viridiplantae; Streptophyta; Magnoliopsida; Poales; Poaceae. The record is from RefSeq and is a predicted model, not a curated record.